UGGGCUGUAGCUCAGUGGUAGAGCACUUGCCUCAUAGGUGUGAGGCCCUGGGUUUGAUCCUCAGCCCCACAU
Molecule: non-coding RNA, 72 nt
Organism: Ictidomys tridecemlineatus (thirteen-lined ground squirrel)
Lineage: Eukaryota; Metazoa; Chordata; Mammalia; Rodentia; Sciuridae
Source: Rfam